Molecule: long non-coding RNA, 518 nt
Organism: Uranotaenia lowii
Lineage: Eukaryota; Metazoa; Arthropoda; Insecta; Diptera; Culicidae
Exons: 3
Source: RefSeq, a predicted model, not a curated record
CCACUGUCGACAACUGGAAAAUAAACACAAAAAAACAACAACAAUUUUCGCUCCUCCAAAAUCGCGGGAUUCUAAACUGGCUGGCUCGUUCUGCCGAAGCUACCGGAAAUAAUUACACUUCCUCGUCCAUUCAUCACCCGGGUGACGAUGGCUUCCCAGCAUUCCGUAGCGCUGGAGCUACGAGAAUCCAUAUGCUAUGUCCAUAGCCGGGUAGGAUCUUUCUGCAAGAAUCAUCAAACUAUGCGGUAUCAACAGGUUUUGAAUUUUCACCAUUUGCUGGCCAGAAGAUCGGAAACUGAUACCAAACCGUAGCUACCGAAACCACAGCUACAGGAGGCCACCACCGGACCCUAAUGGAAAACUGAUAUUGGAGAAUAACCCCUAUAAAUCCCUUCCUUUUCCCUUGUUUAAAGUUUUUUUUUUUUUAACUGUUGAGUCGCCGCGACUAUUACGGCCCCCUUCCCUACUAACCUAGUGAAACGAAUACACUCGGCACAUUGAAACUUUGUAAAAGUAAA